UGGCUGCGUGGCAGCAGACAGACUCCUCCAGCUCCUCUGCCAGGGAGGUGAUCCGGCAAGGCUGUAGUGGAGACAGGAGACGAACCACCAGCAGCCUGAGGGACUGAACAUGUCUAAAUGAAAGGCAUAAAACCCCGGAGAGGUGGAACAGUAGUUGCUUGAAUGCAUUGUUCUGGUAGGGCGUCACACAUCAAACUUCUUCAUGUUGAAGUUUCCACCAGAGCUGAUUGUCCACAAGGGCAAUGUUUGCUUCCUCCUCUAUGUGGUUGGAGGACUCAUGAUGACGGUCACUGCUGGUAGUUGGUGCGUGGAUGUGGCUAUGAGGACGGCCCAGAACCCUGCUAACCUGCGGCGCCUGUCAAACACACUCAUUCGGCUCAUGGGCCUCCGAUACGAAAUA
Sander lucioperca (pikeperch) is the source of this 400-nucleotide long non-coding RNA. RefSeq lists it as uncharacterized. The record is from RefSeq and is a predicted model, not a curated record. Lineage: Eukaryota; Metazoa; Chordata; Actinopteri; Perciformes; Percidae. The transcript has 4 exons.